This is a long non-coding RNA of Etheostoma cragini (Arkansas darter), 99 nucleotides long. RefSeq lists it as uncharacterized. The transcript is spliced from 4 exons. Lineage: Eukaryota; Metazoa; Chordata; Actinopteri; Perciformes; Percidae. The record is from RefSeq and is a predicted model, not a curated record.
AGAAGUUUACUUCACAAGAAUUUGUCCAAAUUUCAAGAUUUGUGGCAAACCAAGAUAAACAGUUAGACUACAAAUCAACAGCUUUUGUUUUAGUUUGUU